GUCCACGCUGUAAACGAUGUCAACUAGAUGUAGGGGUGUUGAUCCCCUCUGUGUCGCAGCUAACGCAUUAAGUUGACCGCCUGGGGAGUACGGUCGCAAGAUUAAAACUCAAAGGAAUUGACGGGGGCCCGCACAAGCGGUGGAGUAUGUGGUUUAAUUCGAUGCAACGCGAAGAACCUUACCUGGUCUUGACAUCCCAGAAAUCCCUUGGAAACUUGGGAGUGCUUCCAUUAGGAAGAAUCUGGAGACAGGUGCUGCAUGGCUGUCGU
RNAcentral lists this ribosomal RNA (269 nucleotides) under uncultured bacterium. RNAcentral's name for it is "partial 16S ribosomal RNA". It matches the Rfam family "Bacterial small subunit ribosomal RNA", at positions 793 to 1055 of the family's 1533-position model. The record is from RNAcentral.